This 301-nucleotide ribosomal RNA is filed under the name uncultured bacterium. RNAcentral describes it as "partial 16S ribosomal RNA". It matches the Rfam family "Bacterial small subunit ribosomal RNA", at positions 509 to 807 of the family's 1533-position model. The record is from RNAcentral.
CAGCAGCCGCGGUAAUACGUAGGUGGCAAGCGUUGUCCGGAAUUAUUGGGCGUAAAGAGCUCGCAGGCGGUUUCUUAAGUCUGAUGUGAAAGCCCCCGGCUCAACCGGGGAGGGUCAUUGGAAACUGGGAAACUUGAGUGCAGAAGAGGAGAGUGGAAUUCCACGUGUAGCGGUGAAAUGCGUAGGGAUGUGGAGGAACACCAGUGGCGAAGGCGGCUCUCUGGUCUGUAACUGACGCUGAGGAGCGAAAGCGUGGGGAGCGAACAGGAUUAGAUACCCCCGUAGUCCCUGUCUCUUAUAC